UACAGAGGGUGCGAGCGUUGUCCGGAAUCACUGGGCGUAAAGGGCGCGUAGGCGGUCUGGUAAGCGUGUGGUGAAAGCUCGGGGCUCAACUCCGAGUCGGCCGUGCGAACUGGGCUCACUGGAGCAUAGUAGAGGCAGGUGGAAUUCCGGGUGUAGCGGUGGAAUGCGUAGAGAUCCGGAAGAACACCGGUGGCGAAGGCGGCCUGCUGGGCUAUGGCUGACACUGAGGCGCGACAGCGUGGGGAGCAAACAGG
This 254-nucleotide ribosomal RNA is filed under the name uncultured bacterium. RNAcentral's name for it is "partial 16S ribosomal RNA". It matches the Rfam family "Bacterial small subunit ribosomal RNA", at positions 524 to 776 of the family's 1533-position model. The record is from RNAcentral.